GCCCAUCUUCUUUGGUUAACUAGUUUUAAAUUGGUUACUUUAUUUCCAAGUCAAAUAAACGUUACUGUAAAUACAGACUAAAAAUGCAGUGAAGAAUUAACCACUAAGCCAGAACGUCACAAUAUAUAUCUAUAUACAUAUGUGUAUUCUGUAGUAGAGGAUUGAUAAGAAGUAGUGGAUUCGUAAACGAAAUCAACGAGCGAC
RNAcentral lists this long non-coding RNA (204 nucleotides) under Mytilus galloprovincialis (Mediterranean mussel). Lineage: Eukaryota; Metazoa; Mollusca; Bivalvia; Mytilida; Mytilidae. The record is from RNAcentral.